CCUACGGGUGGCUGCAGUGAGGAAUAUUGGUCAAUGGCCGUAAGGCUGAACCAGCCAAGCCGCGUGAAGGAAGAAGGACCUAUGGUUUGUAAACAUCUUUUACAGGGGAAUAAAGGUAUCCACGUGUGGACAUUUGCAUGUACCUUACCAAUAAGCAUCGGCUAACUCCGUGCCAGCAGCCGCGGUAAUACGGAGGGUGCGAGCGUUAUGCGGAUUUAUUGGGCUUAAAGGGAGCGUAGGUUGUUUUUUAAGUCAGCGGUGAAAGUUUGUGGCUCAACCCUAAAAUUGCCGUUGAAACUGGCAGACUUGAGUGUGUUUGAGGUAGGCGGAAUGCGUGGUGUAGCGGUGAAAUGCGUAGAUAUCACGCAGAACUCCGAUUGCGAAGGCAGCUUACUAGACCAUAACUGACGCUGAGGCACGAAAGCGUGGGGAUCAAACAGGAUUAGAUACCCCUGUAGUC
Molecule: ribosomal RNA, 460 nt
Filed under: uncultured bacterium
Lineage: Bacteria
Description: partial 16S ribosomal RNA
Rfam family: Bacterial small subunit ribosomal RNA
Source: RNAcentral